This 221-nucleotide ribosomal RNA is filed under the name Clostridioides difficile. RNAcentral describes it as "partial 16S ribosomal RNA". It matches the Rfam family "Bacterial small subunit ribosomal RNA", at positions 167 to 388 of the family's 1533-position model. The record is from RNAcentral. Lineage: Bacteria; Bacillati; Bacillota; Clostridia; Peptostreptococcales; Peptostreptococcaceae.
UACGGGAUAAUAUAUUUGAGAGGCAUCUCUUGAAUAUCAAAGGUGAGCCAGUACAGGAUGGACCCGCGUCUGAUUAGCUAGUUGGUAAGGUAAUGGCUUACCAAGGCGACGAUCAGUAGCCGACCUGGGAGGGUGAUCGGCCACAUUGGAACUGAGACACGGUCCAAACUCCUACGGGAGGCAGCAGUGGGGAAUAUUGCACAAUGGGCGAAAGCCUGAUG